CCUACGGGAGGCAGCAGUGAGGAAUAUUGGUCAAUGGGCGUAAGCCUGAACCAGCCAAGUCGCGUGAGGGAUGAAGGUUCUAUGGAUCGUAAACCUCUUUUAUAAGGGAAUAAAGUGCGGGACGUGUCCCGUUUUGUAUGUACCUUAUGAAUAAGGAUAGGCUAACUCCGUGCCCGCAGCCGCGGUACUACGGAGGAUCCGAGCGUUAUCCGGAUUUAUUGGGUUUAAAGGGUGCGUAGGCGGCCUUUUAAGUCAGCGGUGAAAGUCUGUGGCUCAACCAUAGAAUUGCAGUUGAAACUGGAAGGCUUGAGUAUGUUUGAGGCAGGCGGAAUGCGUGGUGUAGCGGUGAAAUGCUUAGAUAUCACGCAGAACCCCGAUUGCGAAGGCAGCCUGCCAAGCCAUGACUGACGCUGAUGCACGAAAGCGUGGGGAUCAAACAGGAUUAGAUACCCCUGUAGUC
This 460-nucleotide ribosomal RNA is filed under the name uncultured bacterium. Its description in RNAcentral is "partial 16S ribosomal RNA". It matches the Rfam family "Bacterial small subunit ribosomal RNA", at positions 338 to 795 of the family's 1533-position model. The record is from RNAcentral.